This 253-nucleotide ribosomal RNA is filed under the name uncultured bacterium. Its description in RNAcentral is "partial 16S ribosomal RNA". It matches the Rfam family "Bacterial small subunit ribosomal RNA", at positions 524 to 776 of the family's 1533-position model. The record is from RNAcentral. RNAcentral also lists the same sequence under 1 other name.
UACGUAGGGUGCGAGCGUUGUCCGGAUUUAUUGGGCGUAAAGAGCUUGUAGGCGGCUCGUCACGUCGGGUGUGAAAACUCGCGGCUCAACCGCGAGCCUGCACCCGAUACGGGCGGGCUAGAGUUCGGCAGGGGAGACUGGAAUUCCUGGUGUAGCGGUGGAAUGCGCAGAUAUCAGGAGGAACACCGGUGGCGAAGGCGGGUCUCUGGGCCGAUACUGACGCUGAGAAGCGAAAGCGUGGGGAGCGAACAGG